This 359-nucleotide long non-coding RNA is filed under the name Mytilus galloprovincialis (Mediterranean mussel). The record is from RNAcentral. Lineage: Eukaryota; Metazoa; Mollusca; Bivalvia; Mytilida; Mytilidae.
CUUUAAACAUAAUUGGCAUAAACCUUUCUUUAAAUAGUAAUGAAGUGCUUGUGUUUGGUCUAAAAUUAUUUCAUUUCAGUUGUGAAUAAAUAUUUCACUUUCAAAGCUUUAACGAUUGUAUCCACAUCAGUAUUGUAGUCAUACUACGAGGAAUACUAAUUCACAAUUCUGGUAUGGAAACUUUGUGAGUGCUUUUUCCCUUGAACAUGCGCAAAUCAUUUGCCGAUAAGCAUUAAGGAAAUAAAAGUUCUAGGCAUAAACUUGAAAUAGUUACAAGUAUAAUAUAGUUCUUAAGCUUCGAAAACACACGUAGUUAUCAGAUUAUCAAAAAGCCUAGUAUUUUUUUUCAAGAAUUUCAA